UCUGAGAUAUCAGCCUCCAAGACCGAGAAGAAGCAAAAUGGAUGGGACAGAGCCAAACAUAUGGACAAGCUGACCGAACAGGGGAAAAGGGCUAAACAUGGGUGCUAAACAUGGGUGGAGGCCCAGAAGCUCCAGGGGGUCAAUGGUGGAUAAUAAAAGGGAAGUUGGAUAACUAAGCCUGAUGCCGAGGAGGAGCUGCCGAGUGGAUUUCCAUGGUGGAUAAAUACUCAACUUCGAUUUGAUUAGGUUUUUGUUGGCCCGUGACCUGAUCGUCUUUGGAUUUGCGAUUAAGCAUGAUUCUCGGCUUUUAUGGGUUCAAAUAAAUGUAGCAUUGGGUACACAUUUGUUCAUACACUUGUCUGGGAUUGGAUCCGACACUUGGGCGGUUGACACGUGGCGUUGUAGGGUCGCUUGUUCGUGAUCUUGCUGAAAUCAUCUACAUAUAUGUA
Long non-coding RNA from Tarenaya hassleriana, 449 nucleotides. RefSeq lists it as uncharacterized. The record is from RefSeq and is a predicted model, not a curated record. The transcript has 2 exons. Lineage: Eukaryota; Viridiplantae; Streptophyta; Magnoliopsida; Brassicales; Cleomaceae.